AGCUCAGAAAAAAAGAAACUAGACUUUAACCUGUGUUGGGUUGGAAUGGGACAGAUUGGUGUGAACGUGAGAAAAACCAGCAAAGGGGAUCACGCACACAGAAAUAUAAAUUGACAUUUGCUGCACUGACCCCUCAGAACAUUCUCUCCUUGGCUGGAAGACAACGUCAGCACUAGAGCUAGAACUGAGGUGGCUGGAGUGGGCUGUUGCACUUCUUCUAACUCCUGUGCAGGAGCCUCUUCAUGCUGCCCCCGUAACCUCCUUCACACCGGCAGCCUACACCUCACUUGACUACCAGAGUGGACUCUUCCAGCAAUUCCAGGGCACCACACUCAUGCUCAUGUUCUUUGGAGCACU
Ochotona curzoniae (black-lipped pika) is the source of this 357-nucleotide long non-coding RNA. RefSeq lists it as uncharacterized. Lineage: Eukaryota; Metazoa; Chordata; Mammalia; Lagomorpha; Ochotonidae. The transcript is spliced from 3 exons. The record is from RefSeq and is a predicted model, not a curated record.